Molecule: ribosomal RNA, 463 nt
Filed under: uncultured bacterium
Lineage: Bacteria
Description: partial 16S ribosomal RNA
Rfam family: Bacterial small subunit ribosomal RNA
Source: RNAcentral
GAUGAACGCUGACAGAAUGCUUAACACAUGCAAGUCGAUGGGGAAGUGGUGCUUGCACCCUGGCAACCAUGGCGGACGGGUGAGUAACGCGUAAGGGACUUACCUGCAGGACUGGGAUAACAGGGGGAAACUCCUGACAAGACCGGAUAAUGUCAUGGAGCUGCAUGGCUUUAUGAUGAAAGGAGACGCCUGCGGAGAGCCUUGCGUCCUAUUAGCUAGUUGGUGAGGUAAUGGCUCACCAAGGCGAAGAUAGGUAGCCGGCCUGAGAGGGUGGACGGCCACAAGGGGACUGAGAUACGGCCCUUACUCCUACGGGAGGCAGCAGUGGGGAAUAUUGGACAAUGGGGGCAACCCUGAUCCAGCAAUUCUGUGUGCACGAAGAAGGUUUUCGGAUUGUAAAGGGCUUUCAGCAGGGAAGAAGUAAGUGACGGUACCUGCAGAAGAAGCGACGGCUAAAUACGUG